RNAcentral lists this ribosomal RNA (733 nucleotides) under uncultured euryarchaeote. Its description in RNAcentral is "bacterial SSU rRNA". It matches the Rfam family "Archaeal small subunit ribosomal RNA", at positions 85 to 819 of the family's 1478-position model. The record is from RNAcentral. Lineage: Archaea; Methanobacteriati; Methanobacteriota.
ACUGCUCAGUAACACGUGGACAAUCUGUCCUUAGGUGGAGGAUAACCUCGGGAAACUGAGAAUAAGACUCCAUAGAUCUAGGAUGCUGGAAUGCACUUAGCUUAAAAACUUCGGUGCCUAAGGAUGAGUCCGCGGACUAUCAGGUAGUAGUCAGGGUAAAGACCUGACUAGCCUACGACGGAUAUGGGUUGUGAGAGCAAUAACCCAGAGAUGAUAUCUGAGACACGAUAUCAGGCCCUACGGGGCGCAGCAGGCGCGAAAACUUUGCACUGUGCGAAAGCACGACAAGGGAAUCCCAAGUGUUGGCUCUUCUUGAGUCAUCUGUUUCUCUGUCUAAAAAACAGAGAGAGUAAGGGCUGGGUAAGACGGGUGCCAGCCGCCGCGGUAAUACCUGCAGCCCAAGUGGUGAUCGUUAUUAUUGGGCCUAAAACGUCCGUAGCCGGUUUAGUAAAUGCCUAGGUAAAUUGUACGGCUUAACCGUACGAAUUCUGGGUAGACUGCUAGACUCGGAACCGGGAGAAGCUAGAGGUACUCCGGGGGUAGAGGUGAAAUUCUGUAAUCCUCGGGGGACGACCAGUGGCGAAGGCGUCUAGCUAGAACGGGUUUGACGGUGAGGGACGAAGCCCUGGGGCGCAAACGGGAUUAGAUACCCCGGUAGUCCAGGGUGUAAACGCUGCUCGCUUGAUGUUAGUCGGGCUCCGAGUCCGAUUAGUGUCGGAGAGAAGUUGUUAAG